GCUCCUGUAGCUCAGUUGGUCAGAGCGCAAGUCUUAUGAGCUUGCGGUCGCGGGAUCGAGACCCGCCGGGAGUA
RNAcentral lists this transfer RNA (74 nucleotides) under Flavobacteriaceae bacterium. Its description in RNAcentral is "tRNA-Ile". It matches the Rfam family "tRNA". Rfam says of the family: Transfer RNA (tRNA) molecules are approximately 80 nucleotides in length. Their secondary structure includes four short double-helical elements and three loops (D, anti-codon, and T loops). Further hydrogen bonds mediate the characteristic L-shaped molecular structure. tRNAs have two regions of fundamental functional importance: the anti-codon, which is responsible for specific mRNA codon recognition, and the 3' end, to which the tRNAs corresponding amino acid is attached (by aminoacyl-tRNA synthetases). tRNAs cope with the degeneracy of the genetic code in two manners: having more than one tRNA (with a specific anti-codon) for a particular amino acid; and 'wobble' base-pairing, i.e. permitting non-standard base-pairing at the 3rd anti-codon position. Lineage: Bacteria; Pseudomonadati; Bacteroidota; Flavobacteriia; Flavobacteriales; Flavobacteriaceae. The record is from RNAcentral.